UACAGAGGUCUCAAGCGUUGUUCGGAUUCAUUGGGCGGAAAGGGUGCGUAGGUGGCGGGGCAAGUCUGGUGUGAAAUCCCGGGGCUCAACCCUGGAACUGCACUGGAUACUGCUUUGCUAGAGUACUGGAGAGGGAACUGGAAUUUACGGUGUAGCAGUGAAAUGCGUAGAUAUCGUAAGGAAGACCAGUGGCGAAGGCGAGUUCCUGCACAGUUACUGACACUGAGGCACGAAGGCCAGGGGAGCAAACGGG
This 253-nucleotide ribosomal RNA is filed under the name uncultured bacterium. RNAcentral describes it as "partial 16S ribosomal RNA". It matches the Rfam family "Bacterial small subunit ribosomal RNA", at positions 524 to 776 of the family's 1533-position model. The record is from RNAcentral.